RNAcentral lists this ribosomal RNA (254 nucleotides) under uncultured bacterium. RNAcentral describes it as "partial 16S ribosomal RNA". It matches the Rfam family "Bacterial small subunit ribosomal RNA", at positions 524 to 776 of the family's 1533-position model. The record is from RNAcentral.
UACGUAGGGGGCUAGCGUUGUCCGGAUUUACUGGGCGUAAAGGGCGCGUAGGCGGUCGUGACAAGUCACUUGUGAAAUCUCCGGGCUUAACUCGGAACGGUCAAGUGAUACUGUCGGACUAGAGUACAGAAGGGGCAACUGGAAUUCCCGGUGUAGCGGUGAAAUGCGCAGAUAUCGGGAGGAACACCAGUAGCGAAGGCGGCUCGCUGGGCCAUUCCUGACGCUGAGACGCGAAAGCUAGGGGAGCGAACAGG